GAUGAAGAACGUAGCGAAAUGCGAUAAGUAAUGUGAAUUGCAGAAUUCAGUGAAUCAUCGAAUCUUUAAACGCACAUUGCGCCCGCUAGUAUUCUGGCGGGCAUGCCUGUCCGAGCGUCAUUUCAACCCUCAAGCCCCCGGGCUUGGUGUUGGGGAUCGGCGAGCCUCCGCGCCCGCCGUCCCCUAAAUCUAGUGGCGGUCUCGCUGUAGCUUCCUCUGCGUAGUAGCACACCUCGCACUGGGAAACAGCGCGGCCACGCCGUUAAACCCCCAACUUCUGAACGUUUGACCUCGGAUCAGGUAGGAAUACCCGCUGAACUUAAGCAUAUCAAUAAGCGGAGGA
Molecule: unclassified non-coding RNA, 343 nt
Filed under: soil metagenome
Description: partial contains 5.8S ribosomal RNA, internal transcribed spacer 2, and large subunit ribosomal RNA
Rfam family: 5.8S ribosomal RNA (bases 1-120)
Source: RNAcentral